AUGAGAUAUUGUUUUCCUUUUUUUAUUUUCUUUCACAAUCUUAUUUCUUCCCUGCUGUUUUGAUCUUUUCCCGAAACGGCAACUUACCUCACCCAAGAUCCUCCCGUCCAAUCAUAUUUCACGAGGACCCCAUCGCUAUGGCAAUGGUUGCCUAGUGACCGAUAAAGCCCUGAUCCCCCCUUCCUCUCACAUUGUUGCGACCUCUCAGAGUCCAACUGAAGGUGAAGUCCCAGGGUUCAUUGUGCUUUCAGACUGUCUUCUACCUGUGAGCGUCUGCGGAGAGCUGCCACACAAACACACACUGACAUACGCAGAGAUACCCUUAAUUGUGAACCUCAAAGCUGAAAUGUAUAUAAAAUGCACAAAAAACAAACAAACACAUGCCUGCUGACACUCACUCAAAACACACACACACACAGUUAACAAAAAUUACGUAUCCGUACAGCCAAAUGCUUGGUUUGACCACAGUCUGUAUGGAAAAGGGUAUUUAGUACAACUAAGAGAACUCAGACCACAUGUGUAGGAAAGGCACUGAUAAAAAAAACAAUGAUAUAUCACUUCAGUAGACUUUAACAUGUCUAUUCCAUGUCUAUUACGUGACAAAUAUAGAGGGAUCGUUGUUUCAUAAUAAAAAAGAAAGAAAAUACAGAAAAAAAGAUGGCUAAAUGAGUAGGCUAGCAAGACUUUGGAAAGGAUCCUAAUGAGCUGUAUAUAGUUUAGUUUACAAAGAGCAGCAUUUAAAAAAAACAAGAAAACAUGCAAAAAAGAAUACUACUUUAGAUAAAACACUGAACAGAACACUGCAACAUAACUAUUAUUAUCAUUAUUAUUCUUAUUAUUAAUACAACUAGUGACAUCAUCAUUCUUCAUGAGAAAGCUAUUACAUUCCAAAUUGUAAAAUGGGGAAAUCACAAACCUAUUUUAAAUUUCUACUUAGAUUUUAGGUGAAACACAGGGGAGGGGGCGGGGUUGCACUUUUAUUCGGGAGGUUUUAAUAAUUGAGCUAUUUUUUAUUUAUUUAUUUACUAAUUUAACAAUUAUUUUGUUUAUCGGGAGAAAAUGUUUGAGUGGCAAUGCAAUAUUUUGGUUUUAGGAUUUUCUAGAGAAAAACUUUUGAGAGCCUGUUUCUGUCAGACUCUUACAAUCGAGUAAUUAUAAUGUAUCUAUUAACUAUUACAGCAAUUAUAUUUAUUUCUUAUUUAUUGAAUCCUGUUUUUUGAUCCACUCUUUUUAAGUUUAAAUAAAAGGUAUCAUACUAAA
Poecilia latipinna (sailfin molly) is the source of this 1260-nucleotide long non-coding RNA. RefSeq lists it as uncharacterized. The transcript has 2 exons. Lineage: Eukaryota; Metazoa; Chordata; Actinopteri; Cyprinodontiformes; Poeciliidae. The record is from RefSeq and is a predicted model, not a curated record.